This 253-nucleotide ribosomal RNA is filed under the name uncultured bacterium. RNAcentral describes it as "partial 16S ribosomal RNA". It matches the Rfam family "Bacterial small subunit ribosomal RNA", at positions 524 to 776 of the family's 1533-position model. The record is from RNAcentral.
UACGGAGGGUGCAAACGUUGCUCGGAAUCAUUGGGCGUAAAGCGCACGUAGGCGGCCUGUUAAGUCGGGUGUGAAAGCCCUGGGCUCAACCCAGGAAGUGCACUCGAAACUGGCGGGCUUGAAUAUGGAAGAGGGUCGCGGAAUUCCCGGUGUAGAGGUGAAAUUCGUAGAUAUCGGGAGGAACACCAGUGGCGAAGGCGGCGACCUGGGCCAAUACUGACGCUCAUGCACGAAAGCGUGGGGAGCAAACAGG